Long non-coding RNA from Scylla paramamosain (green mud crab), 1567 nucleotides. RefSeq lists it as uncharacterized. NCBI's taxonomy places the organism in Eukaryota, Metazoa, Arthropoda, Malacostraca, Decapoda, Portunidae. The transcript has 2 exons. The record is from RefSeq and is a predicted model, not a curated record.
CCGCUGCUGCCUGCACGCCCCCUCUGCCUGGCCGGCCUAGGGAGGGUGGCUAGGUUAGGUUAUGUGUGUGUGUCUGUCAGGGAGGAUGGCUGUAGUGUAGUUAGGUUAGGUUAGGUUAGGUUUGGUUAGGUUUGGUUUGGUUUGGUUUGGUUAGGUUUGGUUUGGUUUGGUUUGGUUAGGUUUGGUUUGGUUAGGUUUGGUUUGGUUUGGUUUGGUUUGGUUUGGGUUUGGUUUGGUUUGGUUUGGUUUGGUUUUGUUAGGUUAGGUUAGGUUAGGUUAGGUUAGGUUAGGUUAGAUUAGGUUAGGUUAGGUUAGGUUAGGUUAGGUUAUAUUAGAUUAAGUUAGAUUAGAUUAAGUUAGAUUAGGUUAGGUUACAUUGUUAGGUUAGGUUAGGUUAGGUUAGGUUAGGUUAGGUUAGAUUAGAAUAAGUUAGAUUAGAUUAAGUUAGAUUAGGUUAGGUUACAUUGUUAGGUUAAGGUAGACUAGAUUAAAUUAAAUUAGGUUAGACAGUCAGCCAUACAAGUAACCAAUUUCAUAAGUAAUUGAUCAAACAGGUAUGUAAUUCUAUUAAGGUAAACUGUGGAACUCCCUGCCUGCUUCUGUAUUUCCACCUUCCUACGACUUGAAUUCCUUGAAGAGGGAGGUUUCAAGACACUUAUUCAUCAAUUUUUGACCACUGCUUUGACCCUUUUAUGGGACUGACAUUACAGUGGCCAUUUUUUUUUAUUAGAUUUUUGUUGCCCUUGGCCGGUGUCACUCCUACAUAAAAAAAAAAAAUAAAUAAAUAAAAAAUAAAAUAAAAUAAAAUAAAAUAAAAUAAAAUAAAAAAAUAAAAAUACAAUAAAAGGUUAAGUUAGGUAGUGAACCAUACAAGUAACAAGUUUUAUAAGUAAUUGAUCAGGUAUGUAAUUCUGACAUCAACUAAGUAAUCAAUUUCAUAAGUAAUCAGCUGUGAAGGCAAGUAAUUCCCAUUCUACAAGUAAUCAUAUUUAUAAGUAAUCAGUUCAAUUAAGUAAUCACCUCAAACCAGACAAGUAAUUAAGUAAUCCACACUAGUAUAAGUAAUCAGUCAGUUAAACAAGUAAUCACCUUUCUAAGCAAUUACCUAACAUGUAAUUGCCUUAGUAAUUAGUUAAGUAAUCACCUAAGUAAUUAAUAUGUAAUCACCUUUGUAAUUAAUUAUAUAAGUACACCAUUUGUAAUUAGACAAGUAAUCUAUACAUGUAAUCAGUCAAAAAAGUAAUUAACCCUUUAAAUAAUCAAUUCAAUAUGUAAUCACCAUAACUAAUUGCCCUAACUACUUAAUCACUCAUUUCAUAGGUAAUCAGACAAGUAGUAAUUUAUAUAAGUAAUCAAAUAUAUAAUUACACUUUUAAGUAAUCACCUUCAUUUAAGUAAUUAUAUAUAUGUAAUCCCUAACUACCCUUCUCCUAAGUAAUCAGGCAGGCAAGUAAUUCAUAAGUAAUCUGUCAAACGCAUAAUUACACCUUUAAGUAAUCAUGAAUAUGUAAUCACCUUCAUUUAAGUAAUUAUAAGUAAUCCCUAACUGUAGUAAUCUAAGUAAUCA